UACAGAGGUCCCAAGCGUUGUUCGGAUUCACUGGGCGUAAAGGGUGCGUAGGCGGUCGGGUAAGUCUGAUGUGAAAUCUCACAGCUUAACUGCGAAACUGCAUUGGAUACUAUCCGGCUAGAGGAAUGGAGGGGAGACUGGAAUACUUGGUGUAGCAGUGAAAUGCGUAGAUAUCAAGUGGAACACCAGUGGCGAAGGCGGCUACCUGGACCGGUUCUGACGCUGAGGCGCGAAAGCGUGGGUAGCAAACAGG
Molecule: ribosomal RNA, 253 nt
Filed under: uncultured bacterium
Lineage: Bacteria
Description: partial 16S ribosomal RNA
Rfam family: Bacterial small subunit ribosomal RNA
Source: RNAcentral